UACGGGGGGGGGCAAGCGUUGUUCGGAAUUACUGGGCGUAAAGGGCGCGUAGGCGGCCAUUCAAGUGACGGGUGAAAGCCCUCGGCUUAACCGAGGAACUGCCUGUCAGACUGGAUGGCUUGAGACCGGGAGAGGUGAGUGGAAUUCCCAGUGUAGCGGUGAAAUGCGUAGAUAUUGGGAGGAACACCAGUGGCGAAGGCGGCUCACUGGACCGGAACUGACGCUGAGGCGCGAAAGCGUGGGGAGCAAACAGG
This 254-nucleotide ribosomal RNA is filed under the name uncultured bacterium. RNAcentral's name for it is "partial 16S ribosomal RNA". It matches the Rfam family "Bacterial small subunit ribosomal RNA", at positions 524 to 776 of the family's 1533-position model. The record is from RNAcentral.